UAUGAACGUAAAUUUUUUUGUUUAAAGCAAAUUUUAUUGAUUGAGACCGUGGUGUCUCUAGUGAUUAUUUAGCUGACGAAACUAUGAAUCAUUAAUUAACUAGGAUCGGAAUCAUAAUGUGAUUAUGAGAGGAAAAUCAACUAAAAUGUAAGAAUAUUUAUGAAAAUAAUUCUAUUUCAAAAUUAACUUGUAGGUUUUAUUAAUGCAUUUUUAAUUUAUUAUACUUUUUUUUACAGCGGGACCCACAAAAGUAUAUAUGUACAAUGAUCACUUUUUACCUGUAAAGGCCUAUAACGAGACUACGUAGGCAGCCGAAGCCAAAUCCCAACCGUCCAAUCAAAAACCAUCCUCGAAUCCAACGGCCAAGAUCUCUCAUCUCGCCACAAUAAUUAACCCGAAUCUCUGCAUCAAAUGCAACGAGAUCUUUUACCCUCUCUUCUUCGUUUUACCUUUUAUUAUUAUUAUUAUUAUUAUGGAUUAAUUU
RNAcentral lists this long non-coding RNA (484 nucleotides) under Ananas comosus (pineapple). Its description in RNAcentral is "long non-coding RNA (ACOM_LNC011420)". The record is from RNAcentral. Lineage: Eukaryota; Viridiplantae; Streptophyta; Magnoliopsida; Poales; Bromeliaceae.